Molecule: non-coding RNA, 126 nt
Organism: Triticum urartu
Lineage: Eukaryota; Viridiplantae; Streptophyta; Magnoliopsida; Poales; Poaceae
Source: Rfam
AAAGUACUCCCUCCGUCCGAAAAAACCUGUCCCAAGCUUGUCCCUCAAAUAGAUGUAUGUAUCACUAACUUGGUGCUAGAUACAUCCAAUUGAGGGACAAGCUUUUCCGGAUGGAGGGACUACAAG